GUCCCCUUCGUCUAGAGGCCUAGGACAAAGAAAAUUCACGGCGGUAACAGGGGUUCGAAUCCCCUAGGGGACGCCA
RNAcentral lists this transfer RNA (76 nucleotides) under Aeromonas hydrophila. RNAcentral describes it as "tRNA-OTHER". It matches the Rfam family "tRNA". Rfam says of the family: Transfer RNA (tRNA) molecules are approximately 80 nucleotides in length. Their secondary structure includes four short double-helical elements and three loops (D, anti-codon, and T loops). Lineage: Bacteria; Pseudomonadati; Pseudomonadota; Gammaproteobacteria; Aeromonadales; Aeromonadaceae. The record is from RNAcentral.